RNAcentral lists this long non-coding RNA (1317 nucleotides) under Citrus sinensis (sweet orange). RNAcentral's name for it is "long non-coding RNA (CSIN_LNC000416)". The record is from RNAcentral. Lineage: Eukaryota; Viridiplantae; Streptophyta; Magnoliopsida; Sapindales; Rutaceae.
ACAAACGCUGCUUAAUUAUAAUUUAAUGUUUUUUCGCUUUAAUUUAAUGUUCUUCCCAUGACGUGGCAUAACCUAAUAGGCCAUAUGUAGCCAAACCCGAUACCUAAUCGAAGUCGGUGAUUCCAACCCCUCUCUACUCCCUAUAGAAAUGGCAGCCACAAUCUCCGCGUCAGCUUGUUCGGUCCCUUAAACACUCAUUUGUCCCCAACGACGUCGUUUCAAGAAACAAACGACAAAUCAUGUCGGGAAACUUAACUCCGGCUGCAACGUCUGCAUAGGUAAAAAUAACCUCUCAAAUCUCAGUUCUGUCAUCAGUUUUUCCAAAAUCGAUUCCUAAUUUUUCUUUCUUGUUAUUAAUUUAAUUGAAUUUAAUUAAUAUUAUAGGUAAUUUAGAUGAGAAAAUGAGCGAGAGUGCUAUUAAGCUUUUUUCUAAUUCAAGCAGGGCGAGUAGUUGAUGUAUAUAUAUACCAUUAAGCUUUACGAUAUGAAUCCGAAGAGAUCGCCGAUUAUGCCAUUAAGCUUUUUUCCGGCAUUGUCACUCUCUACAAUCGAACCCUCAGAUUUGCUGUGCGUAACCUUUUUUUUAUUUUUUAUUUUAUAUUUGUAUAGUUUCAUUAAGUUUUGGCUAAAAUGCAAAUAGGCCCAAUUUCUAUAGCUUUGAGAUAAUAACACUUUGUCCCUUUUCAUUUACUUUUUAUUUAUUCGAAUCUUGCAAUUUAUUUUCACGUUAAAUUACUAGAAAUGCUCGACUUGGAUUCAAAAGUUGGUCAGAAUCAGAAUGUUGAAGCUUGAAUUUUGUGAUUUCUCAUCAGUUGAAAAUUAAAGAAAGUGGGAAAAUUAAUCCUCCGUUUUCGUUUUCUUAACUGCAUCUCUGUUUCAUUGCAGUGUUCUCUCAUUUUGUAUCCAUUAUUACAAGUGCGAGUUUUUGGGUCCACUUGAAGGGACUGAGGACUGGGAUCAUAAUUGAUGAAUUGCAUAGCAAUUGCUAUAAGUGAACAAAAUUUAAGAGUUAUAAAUCAAUUCGUACAAGAAAUACAAACGCUGCUUAAUUAUAAUUUAAUGUUUUUUCGCUUUAAUUUAAUGUUCUUCCCAUGACGUGGCAUAACCUAAUAGGCCAUAUGUAGCCAAACCCGAUACCUAAUCGAAGUCGGUGAUUCCAACCCCUCUCUACUCCCUAUAGAAAUGGCAGCCACAAUCUCCGCGUCAGCUUGUUCGGUCCCUUAAACACUCAUUUGUCCCCAACGACGUCGUUUCAAGAAACAAACGACAAAUCAUGUCGGGAAACUUAACUCCGGCUGCAACGUCUGCAUAGGUAAA